Long non-coding RNA from Cyprinus carpio carpio, 288 nucleotides. The record is from Ensembl. Lineage: Eukaryota; Metazoa; Chordata; Actinopteri; Cypriniformes; Cyprinidae.
UGUAAACGUUUGGAGCGCCACAGACAGCAACAGAAAGAUGCACUGUGACUGUUCAUGGCAGUCAAACUCUCAAUGCCUGAUGGAGAGAGACAGGCUAGUAAAUAGAAGUUAAUCGGUCAGAGAGCGUGAAAACGUCCACAGCUCCAUAGAGGCCUGCACAUCCGAGGCCCCUGGAGAUCACCCCUAGACCUGAUGCCGUCUUACACAACGCCAGCUUUUCUGAGGGCACCAACUCAGCUACCAGCUGGUGUUCUUGUCAUCUUGUGCAGGAGAAUAGAAAAAGGAAAG